This 411-nucleotide ribosomal RNA is filed under the name bacterium enrichment culture clone ALO1_GLFRUDD03FMDQ6. Its description in RNAcentral is "bacterial SSU rRNA". It matches the Rfam family "Bacterial small subunit ribosomal RNA", at positions 9 to 417 of the family's 1533-position model. The record is from RNAcentral.
GAGUUUGAUCGUGGCUCAGAUUGAACGCUGGCGGCAGGCCUAACACAUGCAAGUCGAGCGGAUGACGGGAGCUUGCUCCUUGAUUCAGCGGCGGACGGGUGAGUAAUGCCUAGGAAUCUGCCCUGGUAGUGGGGGGACAACGUUUUCGAAAGGAACGCUAAUACCGCAUACGUCCUACGGGAGAAAGCAGGGGACCUUCGGGCCUUGCGCUAUCAGAUGAGCCUAGGUCGGAUUAGCUAGUUGGUGGGGUAAUGGCUCACCCAAGGCGACGAUCCGUAACUGGUCUGAGAGGAUGAUCAGUCACACUGGAACUGAGACACGGUCCAGACUCCUACGGGAGGCAGCAGUGGGGAAUUUUUGGACAAUGGGGGCAACCCUGAUCCAGCCAUGCCGCGUGAGUGAAGAAGGCCU